AGUGAACGCUGGCGGUAGGCCUAACACAUGCAAGUCGAACGGCAGCACAGUAAGAGCUUGCUCUUACGGGUGGCGAGUGGCGGACGGGUGAGGAAUACAUCGGAAUCUACUUUUUCGUGGGGGAUAACGUAGGGAAACUUACGCUAAUACCGCAUACGACCUACGGGUGAAAGCAGGGGAUCUUCUGACCUUGCGCGAUUGAAUGAGCCGAUGUCGGAUUAGCUAGUUGGCGGGGUAAAGGCCCACCAAGGCGACGAUCCGUAGCUGGUCUGAGAGGAUGAUCAGCCACACUGGAACUGAGACACGGUCCAGAGUCCUACGGGAGGCAGCAGUGGGGAAUAUUGGACAAUGGGCGCAAGCCUGAUCCAGCCAUACCGCGUGGGUGAAGAAGGCCUUCGGGUUGUAAAGCCCUUUUGUUGGGAAAGAAAAGCAGCAGGUUAAUACCCCGCUGUUCUGACGGUACCCAAAGAAUAAGCACCGGCUAACUUCGUG
Molecule: ribosomal RNA, 492 nt
Filed under: uncultured bacterium
Lineage: Bacteria
Description: partial 16S ribosomal RNA
Rfam family: Bacterial small subunit ribosomal RNA
Source: RNAcentral